This 1150-nucleotide long non-coding RNA is filed under the name Mytilus galloprovincialis (Mediterranean mussel). The record is from RNAcentral. Lineage: Eukaryota; Metazoa; Mollusca; Bivalvia; Mytilida; Mytilidae.
ACCGUUUCGUAGUGGACAAAUUGUGUCGUAAUUGAUAUCAACUCAAUAUUAAAUUGAUAAAAACAUACUGAAAAUUACAUGGUACUAACCCUUGUUAAUUGUUUUGUACAAAUAUAAUUGAAAAAUGAGUAUACAAAACGACUGCAUGCCAUGGUAGUUGUAGUGUCCCGGCACUACGAAACGAUUUUCUCCCCCAAACCGAAUAAGGAAAUAGAAAUCCAAAUAAGGAAAUAGAAACCAAAUAAGGAAAAAGAAACUGAAUAAGGAAAUAGAAACCGAAUAAGGAAAAAGAAACUGAAUAAGGAAAUGAAAAUCGAAUAAGGAAAUGAAAAUCGAAUAAAGAAAUAGAAACCGAAUAAGGAAAAAGGAAACAGAAUAAGGAAAUAGAAACAGAAUAAGGAAAAAGAAACCGAAUAAGGAAAUUAAAAUCAAAAAAGGAAAUAUGAAAAAAUCAAAAAAGGAAAUAGAAACCGAAUAAGGAGUUGAAAAUCGAAAAAGGAAAUAGAAACCGAAUAAGGAAAUGAAAAUUGAAAAAGGAAAAAGAAACCGAAUAAGGAAAUGAAAAUCGAAUAAGGAAAAGAAACCGAAUAAGGAAAUGAAAAUCGAAUAAGGAAAUAGAAACUGAAUAAAGAAAAAGAAACCGAAUAAGGAAAUGAAAAUCGAAUAAGGAAAAGAAACCGAAUAAGGAAAUGAAAAUCGAAUAAGGAAAAGAAACCGAAUAAGGAAAUGAAAUCGAAUAAGGAAAUAGAAACUGAAUAAAGAAAAAGAAACCGAAUAAGGAAAUGAAAAUCGAAUAAGGAAAAACAAACCGAAUAAGGGAAGGAAAAUCGAAUAAGGAAAUAGAAACCGAAUAAGGAAAUAGAAACCGAAUAAGGAAAAAGAAACCGAAUAAGGAAAUAGAAACCGAAUAAGGAAAUGAAAAUCGAAUAAGGAAAUAGAAAACGAAUAAGGAAAAAGAAACCGAAUAAGGAAAUGAAAAUCAAAAAAGGAAAUAGAAACCCAAUAAGGUAAUGAAAAUGGAAAAAGGAAAUAGAAAACGAAUAAGGAAAUGAAAAUUGAAAAAGGAAAUAGAAACCGAAUAAGGAAAUGAAAAUCGAAAAAGGAAAAAGAAAACGAAUAAGGAAAUGAAAAUUGAAAAAGGAAAUAGAAA